Cygnus olor (mute swan) is the source of this 741-nucleotide long non-coding RNA. RefSeq lists it as uncharacterized. Lineage: Eukaryota; Metazoa; Chordata; Aves; Anseriformes; Anatidae. The transcript has 2 exons. The record is from RefSeq and is a predicted model, not a curated record.
UGCUGUGCUACUGGGAUGUAGUAGGGGGUUCCUGUGGCCCUGCUGGGUUCAGCAGGCAGGGAGCCAGCUCCCCAGACCCGUUGCUUACCCCCUGAAAGCUAAGCUUUUCCCAGCCCCAAAUCUGGGGGAGGGAGGAAAUUCCUUCAUGCUGCUGGGGCAAUAUGGGGAAAACAAGACUCUGCAAUGUGUGUGGUUUGGCCUUUACCCAGACUUUCUGGGGUCUGUGACCUGCCUGAGCCCAGCUGUUGGUUUGCGUGCCGCCAGCACCGGGCUGACAGUGGGUGAUUCCUUGCUGCCUCUGUUCUUUGGUCCUCUGGCUGCUUAGACCUGCUGGAAGCAGUUAUCUCAAUCACUGAAACUGAUCUCAGCUGCUGUCCGAGGCAGGUAGACACGUGCUUGUGUGGCAAAGGGCGGGAGCUGCUGUUAUUGCUGAAAUGGAACCAGGGCAGCUGGGCGUGAGCACGGCGCUAGCCGCCCGCAGCCAGCACGGUCAGGUUAUGAGGAAUAAGGCAGCAUUGCUACACAUGGAAUUACCCUGACAUGGCAAUUCAGACCAUGUUGUUCCUAAGGCUCUUGGAAAUUGGAAUGGACUAACCCAUGAAACACAUUAAGGUAAGACUGGCUAUUUCUGACAUUAUUUUUGGAGUAGAUUUCCACCUCCACUUUUAAUUCACAUGCUGCUUUGCUUUGCAAUACCUCCACAUCCGGACAAGUUCUUACGUACAAGCUCAGCUAAAGAAA